RNAcentral lists this ribosomal RNA (379 nucleotides) under uncultured eukaryote. RNAcentral's name for it is "partial 18S ribosomal RNA". It matches the Rfam family "Eukaryotic small subunit ribosomal RNA", at positions 592 to 976 of the family's 1831-position model. The record is from RNAcentral.
CAAUAGCGUAUAUUUAAGUUGUUGCAGUUAAAAAGCUCGUAGUUGGAUUUUGGGUCGGGGCGUCCGGUCCGCCGUUCUGGUGUGCACUGGGCGCCCCUUCCUUUCUGCCGGGGACCGCCUGGGGCUUUAAGUAGCUCGAGGCGGGAGUCGGCGUUGUUACUUUGAAAAAAUUAGAGUGUUCAAAGCAAGCCAUCGCUCUGAAUACAUUAGCAUGGAAUAACAUGAUAGGACUCCGCUCUUAUUUUGUUGGUUUCCGAGACUGGAGUAAUGAUUAAGAGGGACAGUCGGGGGCAUCCGUAUUUCAUUGUCAGAGGUGAAAUUCUUGGAUUUAUGAAAGACGAACUUCUGCGAAAGCAUUUGCCAAGGAUGUUUUCAUUAA